This 45-nucleotide non-coding RNA is filed under the name Trichobilharzia regenti. Lineage: Eukaryota; Metazoa; Platyhelminthes; Trematoda; Strigeidida; Schistosomatidae. The record is from RNAcentral.
AUCCAGCUGGCGAGUCCCAAAUGAAACCAAAUGCGCAUCCUGGAU